AUGCAGCCCCCCAAACCAAGACCACGCAAGCCCUCGCAGACGCCCAUCAACGAUCUCCUGGAAGAAUUCAGCGACGUGUUCACCGCACCCACCGGCUUGCCUCCCCACAGGCAGUAUGAUCACGCGGUCACAUUGGAAGAUGGAGCCCAGCCAACAAACACACGGCCCUACCGCUACUCUCCAUUGCAAAAGGACGAGAUUGAGCGGCAGGUCAAAGAAAUGCUCGACGCCGGUGUGAUCACGCACUCGGUCAGUCCAUACGCGGCGCCAGUUUUGCUUGUGAAGAAGAAGGAUGGCACCUGGCGAUUCUGCGUGGAUUACAGGCGUCUCAAUGACGUGACCGUGAAGAACAAGUUUCCCUUGCCCGUCGUCGACGAGCUACUCGAUGAACUUGCCGGAGCGGCUUUCUUCUCCAAGCUUGACCUGCGCGCAGGCUACCAUCAAAUUCGCAUGCGCGAACAGGAUGAACACAAGACAUCAUUCAAAACUCACCACGGCCAUUUCCAAUUCAGAGUCAUGCCAUUCGGGUUGACAAAUGCUCCGGCCACGUUCCAAUGCCUGAUGAACGCUAUCUUCGCCAAGUAUACCCGUAAGUUUGUCAUCAUUUUUCUUGACGACAUCCUUGUUUUCAGUGAGACACUCGAGGACCAUUUGGAACAUCUCCGCAUCGUCCUCAACUUGCUCCGCGAGCACCAGCUAUAUGCCAAGAUGUCCAAGUGCUCGUUCGCGCAAGAUCACAUUGAUUAUCUGGGUCACGUCAUCUCCAAGCAGGGCGUGGCGACUGAUGCUGAGAAGACCGACGCCAUGGCGCAGUGGCCUACUCCAACCAACGCCACCGAGCUCCGUGGCUUUCUGGGGCUCACCGGCUAUUACCGCAAGUUCGUUCCCCACUACGGGAUCAUUGCCAAGCCGCUAACCCAGCAGCUCACCAAGAAAGGCUUUGCAUGGCCCGAGUCGGCGCAGCUCGCGUUCGACACGCUCAAGAAGGCGAUGGUGACCACGCCGGUGCUCGCCCUUCCUGACUUCGACAAGCCAUUCUCCAUCAAAACCGACGCCUGCUACACCGGCAUCGGUGCCGUGCUCGUCCAAGACGGCCACCCCAUCGCAUACUACAACAAGGCGUUGGGCGUGAAGAACCAGAAGCUCUCCACCUACGAGAAAGAGUUCUUGGCCGUCAUGAUGGCCGUGGACAAAUGGCGCUCUUACCUGCAACGCGGGCCGUUCACCAUUGUCACGGACCACAAAAGCUUAUGCACGCUUGGGGACCAGCAUCUGGUGACCGAUGUCCAGCGCCGCGCCAUGUCCAAAUUGGUCGGCCUCCAAUUCAAGUUCCAGUACAAGAAGGGCGUCGACAACAGCGCGGCGGAUGCUCUCUCUCGCGUGGGCAGUCACUACAGCGCCAAUGCUCUGUCCCUCUGCCAGCCAACAUGGAUUCAGGAAGUGGCCAAUUUGUAUGCCACGGAUCCAGAUGCCCAGGAAAAGAUUCAGCAGCUCGCGCUGCACAGUCCGGACGACGAGGAGUACGAGCUGUACCGUGGAGUCAUUCGCCGUCGCGGGCGGCUGUGGAUCGGCGCAAACACAGCCCUGCGCACCAAACUGAUCAGCGCUCUGCAUGACAGUGCCGUGGGGGGCCAUUCUGGCUCGACAGCAACUUACCACCGUGUCAAGAAGCUGUUUGAGUGGAAGGGUCUGAAACAUGAUGUUGAAGAUUAUGUGCGGCAGUGCCAGAUUUGUCAACAGGCGAAGCAUGAAUUGCAUAAACCAGCAGGCAAGUUGGCACCCCUGCCCAUUCCGACAGCCCCGUGGCGUGAUCUGACAAUGGACUUCGUCGAGGGCUUGCCCAAGUCCGAAGGGUAUGACACAAUCAUGGUGGUUGUCGACCGCUUCACCAAGCUUGCACACUUUGUGCCCCUGCGACACCCAUUCACGGCGACACGAGUGGCAAGAGUGUUCUGGGACAACAUCGUCAAGCUGCACGGCAUCCCCUCCUCCAUCGUCUCCGACCGCGACAAAGUGUUCACCAGCGUGCUUUGGCGGGAACUGCUAGCCAGCGCGGGCACCAAGCUCCUCUACUCCACUGCCUAUCACCCCCAGACGGACGGACAAAGCGAGCGCGUGAACCAGUGCAUGGAGAUGUACUUGCGCUGCGCUGUUCACGACACUCCCACGCAAUGGUGUCGCUGGCUGCCCUCUGCAGAAUUCUGGUACAACUCCUCUUUCCACUCUUCUCUGGGUUGCUCUCCGUUCAAGGCUCUGUAUGGGGUGGAUGCCAACGAGGGCAGCAUGGCAACAUGGCCGGCAACACAAGCAUCAUUGCCGGAAGGGGAGCAGUGGGAUUGGGCACUGCACAAGGAACACUUGCAGGCACAGUUGACCCGGGCGCAACAGAAGUACAAAAAGUUUGCAGACAGAAACCGCACUGAGCGCGUCUUUCAGGUUGGGGAGCAAGUACUGCUGAAACUGCAACCCUAUGUGCAGAAAUCGGUGGCCAGCCGCCCGUGCGCCAAGCUGGCGUUCAAGUUCUUCGGACCAUUCACCAUCAGCGCCAAAAUUGGUCCCUCGGCAUACAAGCUGGAGCUGCCGCCCGACAGUCGCAUUCACCCUGUGUUCCAUGUGUCCCAGCUGAAGCCGUUCACACCCAAUUACACACCAGUGUUCUCCGAACUGCCUGCAACCGUCGACUUAUCAGCAGUGGACUCUAACCCAGUUCAGAUUUUGGAUCGGAGGAUGAUGAAGAGAGGAGACGCACCAGUGGUUCAGGUGCAGGUGGCAUGGAACACAACUCCUCUGUCGACAACCUGGGAAGACUAUGAAGUUCUUCGACGUCGCUAUCCACAGUCACCAAUCUGGGAAGACAGUAACUCCGAAGAAGGGGCCGUUUCUCAAGGCGGGGAGAAUGUCACCCCGGUGCUGCAUACCACCGUGUGA
This 2928-nucleotide ribosomal RNA is filed under the name Triticum aestivum (bread wheat). RNAcentral's name for it is "partial small subunit ribosomal RNA". The record is from RNAcentral. Lineage: Eukaryota; Viridiplantae; Streptophyta; Magnoliopsida; Poales; Poaceae.